AGCUCGGGCAGGGAGGGGUUAACCUCCGGCCUGUGGGGGCAGGGAGGGAUCCGGCCGCUCCCCCAGUCAGUUCCUGGCUUUGGCUUCCACAGCAGCGGCCUCCUCUGCUGCCAAGGACAGCCGGGGGACCUGGCAGGCCCGGGCUGCAACCCGGUGGUUUGGCACCUGGGCCACUGGCUGGGCGGGCGGCCAGGCCAGCGAGGCGGCCUGGGCCAGGCCCCAGGGCCGGCUGAAUGGAGCGCGGACCCCGAUCCUCGUCCAUCCCAAGGAGGUGGCCAGGGUGCAGGCAGCUGCCAGGGCGGGUGGAGGAGGGUCCAGGGUCACCCCGCGCCCCCCUGCCCUGCCCACUGCCCAGGGCCAGCUUACUCACCAUCACAUAAUGACGCUGCAUCUCGGACUUCUCGCUGGCCAGCUUGUCACAUUCGAGCUUCAGGCUGGAAAAGAACAAGAUGGGGGGGGGGGUGGACUGAGCCCCCUGUUGUGCGGGGAGAAAGCCAUGUCCCCCUCUGUGAAGAGAGGAGGGGAGGGGAGGGGACGUGUGUGCCCUCAGGCUCCCUAAGUGUAAACCGGGGAUCCUGCAAUCAGCCUUGUGGCUCUGGUGGCGGAGAGAGUAACGGGAAUAACACAGAUAAGCAGAGUCGAGCAAACACUCCGGGUCAGCCGGGGACUCCGAGAAACUUCUCUGCGCUCCAGACGCUCGAUGAGAUCAGAGAUACCAGCGUCAUCCUCGUUUCACAGAUGAUGCAACGGAUGCCCAGAGAGAAUCUGUCUUGGAACCUGUCUGCGCAGGCCAACAGGCCUAGAGAGCUGCUGGGGUCUGCGACCGUGACUGAGGACUCCGGCCCCAUUCCCAGGCAAAGCCCCCCGCCCCCCAACAGCCUUGAGAAUCUGCGUUCCCCAACCCAGAGACUACGGGCACAUCUCGGCCUGGUCUCCGUGCUGUGCAUCCCCAGGAAAUCUCUGCCCUCUCUGGGCUUGACGCUCUUAAAGCAGGAGACAAAGACAGCGCCGACCCCCCGCCCCCAUGCUGCACUGGGCAAGCCCUUUACGGCGCCAGAACGUUAAAUUCUGGGGAAUGUUUUCUUUCCGGGGUGGGGGGUCCAUCCUCCACCCGCUCCUUGGGAGGUCUUUUAUCCACGGGGGAUGGGGGUGGGGGUGGGGAGACGGCUCUGAAGCCACACAGCCCCAGUCUCUGGACAAAUAAUUUAACUUUCUGUGCCUCAGGCUUCUUACCAGUGAAAUGGGUUGUCUUGAAGUCUACGAGUUUAAUAUCCGGAAAGUGCUCAGGACAGGGCCUACCCCGUACCAGGAGGCUCUCGGCCUCCAUUUCUUCAAAUAGGUGUAUAAAGCAGUAACCACCCCCCAGGCCUGGGGGGCCUCCCCCCCCACUGCCCGGGCCUCUGGCCCCCAGCUCACCUGUGGUACUGAGCCUGCAGCAGCUGAAACUCGUCUUUGAUGCGGUCGCAGGAGUCCGAGGUGGUGAAUUUGAGUUGUUGGGGUAGGUGAGAGGAGCCCUGCGGGGAGGGGGCGGCCGGGUCAGGGCCCCGCGGGGCGGGGUGACCCCCGGGGCAGGCGCAGCUGCAGCGCCCCCCCCUCGCCCCGCUUCCCGGGCCCGUGUUUACAGCCCCUGGCGCGGCCCCCGCCCUCGCUUCCUGCCCCCGCCUCUC
RNAcentral lists this long non-coding RNA (1667 nucleotides) under Vulpes vulpes (red fox). Its description in RNAcentral is "lncRNA (ENSVVUG00000002924.1)". The record is from RNAcentral. Lineage: Eukaryota; Metazoa; Chordata; Mammalia; Carnivora; Canidae.